AUGAACGCUGGCGGCGUGCCUAAUACAUGCAAGUCGCGCGAACAGACGAGGAGCUUGCUCCUCUGACGUUAGCGGCGGACGGGUGAGUAACACGUGGAUAACCUACCUAUAAGACUGGGAUAACUUCGGGAAACCGGAGCUAAUACCGGAUAAUAUAUUGAACCGCAUGGUUCAAUAGUGAAAGACGGUUUUGCUGUCACUUAUAGAUGGAUCCGCGCCGCAUUAGCUAGUUGGUAAGGUAACGGCUUACCAAGGCGACGAUGCGUAGCCGACCUGAGAGGGUGAUCGGCCACACUGGAACUGAGACACGGUCCAGACUCCUACGGGAGGCAGCAGUAGGGAAUCUUCCGCAAUGGGCGAAAGCUUGACGGAGCAACGCCGCGUGAGUGAUGAAGGUCUUCGGAUCGUAAAACUCUGUUAUUAGGGAAGAACAAAUGUGUAAGUAACUAUGCACGUCUUGACGGUACCUAAUCAGAAAGCCACGGCUAACUACGUG
This 496-nucleotide ribosomal RNA is filed under the name uncultured bacterium. Its description in RNAcentral is "partial 16S ribosomal RNA". It matches the Rfam family "Bacterial small subunit ribosomal RNA", at positions 29 to 507 of the family's 1533-position model. The record is from RNAcentral.